GACUACUCUGGUGGCCAAGUGGUUAGAGCAUCUGCCUCGGAUGCAGGAGGUCGUGGGUCUAAACCCAAGUCAAGUCA
Non-coding RNA from Potamilus streckersoni, 77 nucleotides. NCBI's taxonomy places the organism in Eukaryota, Metazoa, Mollusca, Bivalvia, Unionida, Unionidae. The record is from the annotation of a GenBank genome assembly.